AUUGCUGUGUGAUGAAAAGCAUGGUUAUGCUCCUGCCAGAGCAUUCUGACCUUUGUGAGGACACAAUCCAUGCUGCCUUCCUUCUGAUAACAAU
Small nucleolar RNA from Pecten maximus, 94 nucleotides. RefSeq annotates it as small nucleolar RNA U83B. Lineage: Eukaryota; Metazoa; Mollusca; Bivalvia; Pectinida; Pectinidae. The transcript has a single exon. The record is from RefSeq and is a predicted model, not a curated record.